GUGAGGAAUAUUGCGCAAUGGAGGCAACUCUGACGCAGCCAUGCCGCGUGCAGGAAGAAGGCGCUACGCGUUGUAAACUGCUUUUAACCGGGAAGAAACCCCAGGACGUGUCCUGGGUUGACGGUACCGGAGGAAUAAGCACCGGCUCACUUCGUGCCAGCAGCCGCGGUAAUACGAAGGGUGCAAGCGUUAUCCGGAUUCAUUGGGUUUAAAGGGUGCGUAGGCGGAGCGUUAAGUCAGUGGUGAAAUCCUGCAGCUUAACUGUAGACUUGCCAUUGAUACUGGCGCUCUUGAGUGCGCUUGAAGUGGGCGGAAUGUGCCGUGUAGCGGUGAAAUGCUUAGAUAUGGCACAGAACACCAAUUGCGAAGGCAGCUCACUAAGGCGAUACUGACGCUGAGGCACGAAAGCGUGGGGAUCGAACAGGAUUAGAUACCCUGGUAGUCC
This 445-nucleotide ribosomal RNA is filed under the name uncultured bacterium. RNAcentral describes it as "partial 16S ribosomal RNA". It matches the Rfam family "Bacterial small subunit ribosomal RNA", at positions 354 to 796 of the family's 1533-position model. The record is from RNAcentral.